UACGUAGGGACCAAGCGUUGUUCGGAUUUACUGGGCGUAAAGGGCGCGUAGGCGGCAUGACAAGUCACUUGUGAAAUCUCCGGGCUUAACUCGGAACGGCCAAGUGAUACUGUUGAGCUAGAGUGCGGAAGGGGCAAUCGGAAUUCUUGGUGUAGCGGUGAAAUGCGUAGAUAUCAAGAGGAACACCUGAGGUGAAGACGGGUUGCUGGGCUGACACUGACGCUGAUGCGCGAAAGCCAGGGGAGCGAACGGG
RNAcentral lists this ribosomal RNA (253 nucleotides) under uncultured bacterium. RNAcentral's name for it is "partial 16S ribosomal RNA". It matches the Rfam family "Bacterial small subunit ribosomal RNA", at positions 524 to 776 of the family's 1533-position model. The record is from RNAcentral.